AAAAACAUGGGACACCAAUUGUCAUACAUAAAAAGUAAACAAUUAUCCCAUGAUCAAAAUAAUUAUAUUUUAACCAUGGGACCAAAAUAAGUCCCACACCAAUGCUCAUGCUCUAAGGGCAUGGGCAUCCAUGCGACAGGUAUUUAUCCCAUUUUUUUUUUCUUUUUUUUUAAGAUUCUUUUUUUAAAAAAGUAACCAAUCGCGGGCCGCCACGUGGCAGUGGGGCCCGCGAAAGAGGCAGGGACCGUCCCGAACGACCCACAAUUUUUUAGUUUUAUUUUAUUUUAUUUUUUUAACAAAAAUGCUGGGGGACUGAGACUGGGACCAGGGAUGCCCAUGGUCUAAGGAACACUAGGUUGAGGAACUUUCACUGUUUUUUUAGAAUUUUCUUGGUAAAAAUUGUAAAUGGAUUCUAAUGAUUCCUCUUACAGGGAUGAGCGUUUGGCAUGUACUCUGUGGGGG
This 462-nucleotide long non-coding RNA is filed under the name Capsella rubella. Its description in RNAcentral is "long non-coding RNA (CRUB_LNC001601)". Lineage: Eukaryota; Viridiplantae; Streptophyta; Magnoliopsida; Brassicales; Brassicaceae. The record is from RNAcentral.